RNAcentral lists this ribosomal RNA (433 nucleotides) under uncultured bacterium. RNAcentral describes it as "partial 16S ribosomal RNA". It matches the Rfam family "Bacterial small subunit ribosomal RNA", at positions 29 to 507 of the family's 1533-position model. The record is from RNAcentral.
AACGAACGCUGGCGGCAUGCCUAACACAUGCAAGUCGAACGAGACCUUCGGGUCUAGUGGCGCACGGGUGCGUAACGCGUGGGAAUCUGCCCUUGGGUUCGGAAUAACAGUUGGAAACGACUGCUAAUACCGGAUGAUGACGUAAGUCCAAAGAUUUAUCGCCCAAGGAUGAGCCCGCGUAGGAUUAGCUAGUUGGUGAGGUAAAGGCUCACCAAGGCGACGAUCCUUAGCUGGUCUGAGAGGAUGAUCAGCCACACUGGGACCGAGACACGGCCCAGACUCCUACGGGAGGCAGCAGUGGGGAAUAUUGGACAAUGGGCGAAAGCCUGAUCCAGCAAUGCCGCGUGAGUGAUGAAGGCCUUAGGGUUGUAAAGCUCUUUUACCCGGGAUGAUAAUGACAGUACCGGGAGAAUAAGCUCCGGCUAACUCCGUG